GAAACCGGGGCUAAUGCCGGAUAACAUGUUGAACCGCAUGGUUCAACAGUGAAAGACGGUCUUGCUGUCACUUAUAGAUGGACCCGCGCCGUAUUAGCUAGUUGGUAAGGUAACGGCUUACCAAGGCGACGAUACGUAGCCGACCUGAGAGGGUGAUCGGCCACACUGGAACUGAGACACGGUCCAGACUCCUACGGGAGGCAGCAGUAGGGAAUCUUCCGCAAUGGGCGAAAGCCUGACGGAGCAACGCCGCGU
This 255-nucleotide ribosomal RNA is filed under the name Staphylococcus hyicus. RNAcentral describes it as "partial 16S ribosomal RNA". It matches the Rfam family "Bacterial small subunit ribosomal RNA", at positions 153 to 402 of the family's 1533-position model. The record is from RNAcentral. Lineage: Bacteria; Bacillati; Bacillota; Bacilli; Caryophanales; Staphylococcaceae.